ACACGACUACAUUAGAUACCCGUGUAGUCCUAGCCGUAAACGAUACUCGCUAGGUGUCGGCCACGGUGCGACCGUUGUCGGUGCCGUAGGGAAGCCGUGAAGCGAGCCACCUGGGAAGUACGGCCGCAAGGCUAGAAACUUAAAGGAAUUGGCGGGGGAGCACAACAACGGGUGGAGCUUGCGGUUUAAUUGGAUUCAACGCCGGAAAUCUUACCGGGACCGACAGCAACAUGAAGGCCAAGCUGAAGACUUUGCCGGAUUAGCUG
Molecule: ribosomal RNA, 266 nt
Filed under: uncultured archaeon
Lineage: Archaea
Description: partial 16S ribosomal RNA
Rfam family: Archaeal small subunit ribosomal RNA
Source: RNAcentral